GACGAACGCUGGCGGCGUGCCUAAUACAUGCAAGUCGAACGCUUCUUUCCUCCCGAGUGCUUGCACUCAAUUGGAAAGAGGAGUGGCGGACGGGUGAGUAACACGUGGGUAACCUACCCAUCAGAGGGGGAUAACACUUGGAAACAGGUGCUAAUACCGCAUAACAGUUUAUGCCGCAUGGCAUAAGAGUGAAAGGCGCUUUCGGGUGUCGCUGAUGGAUGGACCCGCGGUGCAUUAGCUAGUUGGUGAGGUAACGGCUCACCAAGGCCACGAUGCAUAGCCGACCUGAGAGGGUGAUCGGCCACACUGGGACUGAGACACGGCCCAGACUCCGACGGGAGGCAGCAGUAGGGAAUCUUCGGCAAUGGACGAAAGUCUGACCGAGCAACGCCGCGUGAGUGAAGAAGGUUUUCGGAUCGUAAAACUCUGUUGUUAGAGAAGAACAAGGACGUUAGUAACUGAACGUCCCCUGACGGUAUCUAACCAGAAAGCCACGGCUAACUACGUG
This 508-nucleotide ribosomal RNA is filed under the name uncultured bacterium. Its description in RNAcentral is "partial 16S ribosomal RNA". It matches the Rfam family "Bacterial small subunit ribosomal RNA", at positions 28 to 507 of the family's 1533-position model. The record is from RNAcentral.